GUCCAAGAAGGGGUCUGGUCAAACUGUGGGUGAGGCUUGGACGCCUGAGUGUGAGCAAAGCUUUGAGGCCUUGAGGGCAAAAUUGGUUUCUGCCCCCGUGUUGGCUUAUGCAGACUUUUCACGUCCCUUUAUUUUGGAGGUGGAUGCUAGUUACAGCGGUUUAGGGGCAGUCCUUUCCCAGGAACAGGAUGGUCGCCUUAGGCCGGUGGCCUAUGCCAGCCGUGGCCUUCGUCCUACAGAGCGCAACAUGACUAAUUAUAGCUCCAUGAAAUUAGAAUUUCUGGCUCUGAAGUGGGCCAUGACCGAAAAAUUUCGGGAGUAUUUGUUGGGUCAUCGCUGUGUUGUGUUUACGGAUAACAACCCCUUGAGUUAUCUUCAAACCGCAAAAUUGGGGGCUAUGGAGCACCGUUGGGCGGCUCAGCUCGCUGCUUUUAACUUUGAAAUUAAGUAUCGGUCAGGUCGGAGUAACCGGAAUGCUGAUGCUCUUUCGCGGCAGUAUGCUCCGGGGUCUAAUUGGACGGAGCAGAUCUUGCCAGGCACUGUCAUCCCGGCCUCUUUGCAGCAGGUAUCAGGUUUGGAUAGAGUGCCUGUCAUCCAGUCCUUAGUUUCAGUGUUCCCUGGCUCCUCUCCAUCAGACCUUUGCCAACUUCAAGGGGCAGAUCCUGUAUUGAGGGACCUCUGGCACUUCUGGAAGGAACAAAGGCAACCCACUCCAGAAGAGAGACGACAGCUUUCUCGGCCAGUGUUGGCCCUUUUGCGUCAGUGGGAUCGUCUGGUCGAACAAGAUGGGGUAUUGUUCCGCCGGGUGUUCCGUCCUGAGGGAGGUGAGGAGAAUUUGCAGCUUCUCCUGCCUGCAGCCCUCAAGGGGGAUAUUUUGACCUCCUUACACCAGGAGCAUGGCCACCAGGGUGUAGAGCGGACCUCGGAAUUGGUUAGGGAGCGCUGUUACUGGCCUGGAAUGGCUUCAGAUGUGAAGCAGUGGUGUCAAGAAUGUGAGCGCUGCCAAGUGGCUAAGGAUUCUGGGUCAGGACCACAUAGUUUUAUGGGGCAUUUGUUGGCUUCUAAACCCAAUGAAAUUGUGGCGAUAGAUUUUACCAUCUUAGAGCCGGCAGC
Molecule: long non-coding RNA, 1113 nt
Organism: Pygocentrus nattereri (red-bellied piranha)
Lineage: Eukaryota; Metazoa; Chordata; Actinopteri; Characiformes; Serrasalmidae
Source: Ensembl